GUGCUGAAUUGGUGCUCUGCAUCACCCUGUCAAUGGAGGAGAUGGACCCAGAAGGGGAGUUGCCGGGACCUCCAUCUGCUGUGUACCCUGAGGACCUGUGGAUUCCAGAGAUACCAAACCCCAGGGAAGUAAGAAGUAGCCUGGGGCAGCCGAUGACUGUCUGGCUAUGUGGCUGACUGCUUCUAGGUUUCCAAUUUUGGACAGAACUGAAGAUCUGUGGCAGUGUUGCAAAAUGUACUGGAAGAAAUGGCUCAAUGUAUUCAGUACAUGCUGGAUCUGAAGGUGGACACAUCUGAGUGUUUUAUCAAGAGUUUUGAUGAGUUUACUUAGAGGCACUAUUUAGAAUGGCCAGUAAACACAAAUUAACAAUAGUUUUGCAUUAAUUUAAGGUGGAAGGGCCAUUCUCUCCAUCUGGACCUUUCUUCAGCAUUAGCUUUAAAAUAGUUAACUGAAUCUGUUGUGAUUCAUUUGUUCAUUAGAAACUGAAGGGUACUUAAGAUAGCAUAAGGUGGAAGUAAAUCUAAUUCUUUAGACUGAUCAAAAUGCAGAAGUUACAGAGGCAGAACACAGUCCUCUUUACUCCAAUGGAACUGAGAUGAGUAACACUAUUUAAUCCUGUAUUCUUGAGUUUACAUGGGCACAGUUACAAGUACAUACACAAGUUACUAAUUUCCAUGAAAUGUGAUUCCUGCUUUAAAAAAAAAAUUUAAACUUGUGAUGUAAAGAGAAUUCUUUAGUUACAAGAAUUAGCCAGAAAAUCCAUUAACAAAAGUUUUUUAAACAUUUUGUUCUAUUAUUGCUCUUCUGAGUAUUUAUCCACAUAUACAAUGUUUGUUUUGCUCAAGCAUAAGUUAAAGUACAGCUACAACUAAGAAUAUUAGCUUGGAAAAGUUUCAGCAAUGACAAGUUACAUACGUUAAGAACUCAGCGGUAUGUUUGAAAUUAAAUAUCAAUAAAGGAUUAUUACUUUAAAAAGUA
Long non-coding RNA from Dermochelys coriacea (leatherback sea turtle), 978 nucleotides. RefSeq lists it as uncharacterized. The transcript is spliced from 2 exons. The record is from RefSeq and is a predicted model, not a curated record. Lineage: Eukaryota; Metazoa; Chordata; Testudines; Dermochelyidae.